RNAcentral lists this ribosomal RNA (730 nucleotides) under uncultured eukaryote. RNAcentral describes it as "SSU rRNA". It matches the Rfam family "Eukaryotic small subunit ribosomal RNA", at positions 670 to 1426 of the family's 1831-position model. The record is from RNAcentral.
CGCGUGUACUGGUCCGGCCGGGCCUUUCCCUCUGUGGAACCCCAUGCCCUUCACUGGGUGUGGCGGGGAAACAGGACUUUUACUGUGAAAAAAUUAGAGUGCUCCAGGCAGGCCUAUGCUCGAAUACAUUAGCAUGGAAUAAUAGAAUAGGACGUGUGGUUCUAUUUUGUUGGUUUCUAGGACCGCCGUAAUGAUUAAUAGGGACAGUCGGGGGCAUCAGUAUUCAAUUGUCAGAGGUGAAAUUCUUGGAUUUAUUGAAGACUAACUACUGCGAAAGCAUUUGCCAAGGAUGUUUUCAUUAAUCAGGAACGAAAGUUAGGGGAUCGAAGACGAUCAGAUACCGUCGUAGUCUUAACCAUAAACUAUGCCGACUAGGGAUCGGACGGUGUUAUAUUUUGACCCGUUCGGCACCUUACGAGAAAUCAAAGUGCUUGGGCUCCAGGGGGAGUAUGGUCGCAAGGCUGAAACUUAAAGAAAUUGACGGAAGGGCACCACCAGGGGUGGAGCCUGCGGCUUAAUUUGACUCAACACGGGGAAACUCACCAGGUCCAGACACAAUGAGGAUUGACAGAUUGAGAGCUCUUUCUUGAUUUUGUGGGUGGUGGUGCAUGGCCGUUCUUAGUUGGUGGAGUGAUUUGUCUGCUUAAUUGCGAUAACGAACGAGACCUUAACCUGCUAAAUAGCCCGUAUUGCUUUGGGCAGUACGCUGGCUUCUUAGAGGGACUAUCGG